UACGUAGGGUGCGAGCGUUGUUCGGAAUUACUGGGCGUAAAGCGUGCGUAGGCGGUCCGUGAAGUCUGAUGUGAAAGCCCCGGGCUCAACCUGGGAACUGCAUUGGAGACUGACGGGCUCGAGUGUGGCAGAGGGGGGUGGAAUUCCACGUGUAGCAGUGAAAUGCGUAGAGAUGUGGAGGAACACCGAUGGCGAAGGCAGCCCCCUGGGCUAACACUGACGCUCAGGCACGAAAGCGUGGGGAGCAAACAGG
RNAcentral lists this ribosomal RNA (253 nucleotides) under uncultured bacterium. RNAcentral's name for it is "partial 16S ribosomal RNA". It matches the Rfam family "Bacterial small subunit ribosomal RNA", at positions 524 to 776 of the family's 1533-position model. The record is from RNAcentral.